RNAcentral lists this ribosomal RNA (250 nucleotides) under uncultured bacterium. RNAcentral describes it as "partial 16S ribosomal RNA". It matches the Rfam family "Bacterial small subunit ribosomal RNA", at positions 524 to 773 of the family's 1533-position model. The record is from RNAcentral.
UACGAAGGGGGCUAGCGUUGCUCGGAAUCACUGGGCGUAAAGGGUGCGUAGGCGGGUUUCUAAGUCAGAGGUGAAAGCCUGGAGCUCAACUCCAGAACUGCCUUUGAUACUGGAAGUCUUGAGUAUGGGAGAGGUGAGUGGAACUGCGAGUGUAGAGGUGAAAUUCGUAGAUAUUCGCAAGAACACCAGUGGCGAAGGCGGCUCACUGGCCCAUUACUGACGCUGAGGCACGAAAGCGUGGGGAGCAAAC